RNAcentral lists this ribosomal RNA (105 nucleotides) under Candidatus Nitrosopumilus sp. Its description in RNAcentral is "Nitrosopumilus sp. partial 16S ribosomal RNA". It matches the Rfam family "Bacterial small subunit ribosomal RNA", at positions 1 to 108 of the family's 1533-position model. Lineage: Archaea; Thermoproteati; Nitrososphaerota; Nitrososphaeria; Nitrosopumilales; Nitrosopumilaceae. The record is from RNAcentral.
AUUAAAUAGACGAGUUUGAUCCUGGCUCCGAGUGAACGCUAGGGAUAUGCUUUACACAUGCAAGUUGAACGUAAUUUUUAAGUAAGAUUAAGUAGCGUAAGGGUG